RNAcentral lists this transfer RNA (72 nucleotides) under Ailuropoda melanoleuca (giant panda). It matches the Rfam family "tRNA". From Rfam's summary of the family: Transfer RNA (tRNA) molecules are approximately 80 nucleotides in length. Their secondary structure includes four short double-helical elements and three loops (D, anti-codon, and T loops). The record is from Rfam by way of RNAcentral. Lineage: Eukaryota; Metazoa; Chordata; Mammalia; Carnivora; Ursidae.
GUCUGGCUGGCUCAGUGGUAGAGUAUGCGACUCUUGGCCUCAGGGUUGUGAGUUCAAGCCCCACGUUGGGCG